Molecule: ribosomal RNA, 449 nt
Filed under: uncultured bacterium
Lineage: Bacteria
Description: bacterial SSU rRNA
Rfam family: Bacterial small subunit ribosomal RNA
Source: RNAcentral
UGGGGAAUAUUGCGCAAUGGGGGAAACCCUGACGCAGCGACGCCGCGUGUGGGAUGAAGGUCUUCGGAUUGUAAACCACUGUCGCGAGGGACGAAGCUCUGACGGUACCUCGAAAGGAAGCACCGGCUAACUCUGUGCCAGCAGCCGCGGUAAUACGUAGGGACCAAGCGUUGUUCGGAUUUACUGGGCGUAAAUGGCGCGUAGGCGGCAUGACAAGUCACUUGUGAAAUCUCUGGGCUUAACCCAGAACGGCCAAGUGAUACUGUCGCGCUAGAGUGCAGAAGGGGCAAUCGGAAUUCUUGGUGUAGCGGUGAAAUGCGUAGAUAUCAAGAGGAACACCUGAGGUGAAGACGGGUUGCUGGGCUGACACUGACGCUGAGGCGCGAAAGCCAGGGGAGCAAACGGGAUUAGAUACCCCCGUAGUCCCUGAGCGGGCUGGCAAGGCGCAU